UACAGAGGGUGCGAGCGUUAAUCGGAAUUACUGGGCGUAAAGCGCGCGUAGGCGGCUUUGCAAGUCGGGUGUGAAAUCCCCAGGCUUAACCUGGGAACUGCAUUCGAGACUGCAUUGCUAGAGUAUGGGAGUGGGAAGUGGAAUUUCCGGUGUAGCGGUGAAAUGCGUAGAUAUCGGAAGGAACAUCAGUGGCGAAAGCGACUUCCUGGACCAAUACUGACGCUCAUGUGCGAAAGCGUGGGGAGCAAACAGG
RNAcentral lists this ribosomal RNA (253 nucleotides) under uncultured bacterium. RNAcentral describes it as "partial 16S ribosomal RNA". It matches the Rfam family "Bacterial small subunit ribosomal RNA", at positions 524 to 776 of the family's 1533-position model. The record is from RNAcentral.